This 83-nucleotide transfer RNA is filed under the name Thermaerobacter marianensis DSM 12885. Its description in RNAcentral is "tRNA-Leu (GAG) (tRNA-Leu-GAG-1-1)". It matches the Rfam family "tRNA". Rfam says of the family: Transfer RNA (tRNA) molecules are approximately 80 nucleotides in length. RNAcentral also lists the same sequence under 7 other names. Lineage: Bacteria; Bacillati; Bacillota; Clostridia; Eubacteriales; Clostridiales Family XVII. Incertae Sedis. The record is from RNAcentral.
GCGAGGGUGCUGGAACUGGCAGACAGGCACGUUUGAGGGGCGUGUGGGUUUAUCCCGUGCGGGUUCGAGUCCCGCCCCUCGCA